GACGAACGCUGGCGGCGUGCCUAACACAUGCAAGUCGAGCGGGGAUUUAUCGAUGAAGUUUUCGGAUGGAUUUGAUAAAUUCUAGCGGCGGACGGGUGAGUAACGCGUGAGCAACCUGCCUAUCACUGGGGAAUAACGCAGCGAAAGUUGUGCUAAUACCGCAUGAGACCACAAGAUCGCAUGGUCAAGGGGUCAAAGAUUUAUCGGUGAUAGAUGGGCUCGCGUCUGAUUAGCUAGUUGGUGAGGUAACGGCCCACCAAGGCGACGAUCAGUAGCCGACCUGAGAGGGUGAUCGGCCACAUUGGAACUGAGAAACGGUCCAAACUCCUACGGGAGGCAGCAGUGAGGAUAUUGGUCAAUGGUCGAGAGACUGAACCAGCCAAGUAGCGUGAAGGAUGACUGCCCUACGGGUUGUAAACUUCUUUGUUUGGGAAUAAUGAUACUACGUGUAGUAUUUGCAUGUACCUUA
This 469-nucleotide ribosomal RNA is filed under the name uncultured bacterium. RNAcentral describes it as "bacterial SSU rRNA". It matches the Rfam family "Bacterial small subunit ribosomal RNA", at positions 28 to 482 of the family's 1533-position model. The record is from RNAcentral.